This is a long non-coding RNA of Mauremys reevesii (Reeves's turtle), 375 nucleotides long. RefSeq lists it as uncharacterized. The record is from RefSeq and is a predicted model, not a curated record. The transcript has 4 exons. NCBI's taxonomy places the organism in Eukaryota, Metazoa, Chordata, Testudines, Geoemydidae.
AGCUAACAGAGAAGUACAAUGUAGUAUAAUGAAGCUAACAUUUGGGAGAGUACAUCUCUUAUUCCAGCAUUCCUGACCUUAGUCCCAAGAGCAAUUGAAAACACAGCAGCAGUGACAGAAAUUUCACAGAAAGUCGUCACGCUACCCACAGUGAUAAGAUAAUUAUUGAUAUUCCUGAGAACAAGAUCAAGGACAAACAACUCAACCUCUCCUUUUGGAAGAAGGGCAUGAAGACAGACUCGCCCUAGACAUCUGUAUUUCAACUGAAACAAAAAGGCAGCCUGCUCCUGAAGCACACAGAGAGAUAUCCCACAUUUAAAGGAACAGAAUGAACAGAAACAAAAAGAUGCAGAAACAAAACAAAUAUAGAAGUAC